This 253-nucleotide ribosomal RNA is filed under the name uncultured bacterium. RNAcentral's name for it is "partial 16S ribosomal RNA". It matches the Rfam family "Bacterial small subunit ribosomal RNA", at positions 524 to 776 of the family's 1533-position model. The record is from RNAcentral.
UACGUAGGGGGCGAGCGUUGUCCGGAAUUAUUGGGCGUAAAGAGCGUGUAGGCGGCCUGACAGGUCUGCUGUGAAAACUCGAGGCUCAACCUCGAGAUGUCGGCGGAAACCGUCUGGCUAGAGUCCGGAAGAGGAGAGUGGAAUUCCUGGUGUAGCGGUGAAAUGCGCAGAUAUCAGGAAGAACACCUAUGGCGAAGGCAGCUCUCUGGGACGGUACUGACGCUGAGACGCGAAAGCGUGGGGAGCGAACAGG